GAUGAACGCUGGCGGCGUGCCUAAUACAUGCAAGUCGAGCGAACAGACGAGGAGCUUGCUCCUCUGACGUUAGCGGCGGACGGGUGAGUAACACGUGGAUAACCUACCUAUAAGACUGGGAUAACUUCGGGAAACCGGAGCUAAUACCGGAUAAUAUAUUGAACCGCAUGGUUCAAUAGUGAAAGACGGUUUUGCUGUCACUUAUAGAUGGAUCCGCGCCGCAUUAGCUAGUUGGUAAGGUCACGGCUUACCAAGGCAACGAUGCGUAGCCGACCUGAGAGGCGGAUAGGCGACACGGGAACGUAGACACGGACCUGACGCCUACGGUAGGCAGCAGAAGGGAAUCGUCCGCAGUGGGGGAAAGCCUGACGGAGCAACGCCGCGUGAGUGAUGAAGGCGUUCGGAUCGUAAAACUCUGUUAUUAGGGAAGAACAAAUGUGGAAGUAACUGUGCACGUCUUGACGGUACUUAAUCAGAAAGCCACGGCUAACUACGUG
Molecule: ribosomal RNA, 497 nt
Filed under: uncultured bacterium
Lineage: Bacteria
Description: partial 16S ribosomal RNA
Rfam family: Bacterial small subunit ribosomal RNA
Source: RNAcentral